GACGAACGCUGGCGGCGUGCUUAACACAUGCAAGUCGAACGGAAAGGCCCUGCUUGCCGGGUACUCGAGUGGCGAACGGGUGAGUAACACGUGGGUGAUCUGCCCUGCACUUCGGGAUAAGCCUGGGAAACUGGGUCUAAUACCGGAUAGGAGCCAUUUUUAGUGUGAUGGUUGGAAAGUUUUUUCGGUGUAGGAUGAGCUCGCGGCCUAUCAGCUUGUUGGUGGGGUAAUGGCCUACCAAGGCGGCGACGGGUAGCCGGCCUGAAAGGGUGGACGGCCACAUUGGGACUGAGAUACGGCCCAGACUCCUACGGGAGGCAGCAGUGGGGAAUAUUGCACAAUGGGCGCAAGCCUGAUGCAGCGACGCCGCGGGGGGGAUGACGGCCUUCGGGUUGUAAACUCCUUUCGCUAGGGACGAAGCUUUUUGUGACGGUACCUAGAUAAGAAGCACCGGCUAACUACGUG
RNAcentral lists this ribosomal RNA (465 nucleotides) under uncultured bacterium. RNAcentral describes it as "partial 16S ribosomal RNA". It matches the Rfam family "Bacterial small subunit ribosomal RNA", at positions 28 to 507 of the family's 1533-position model. The record is from RNAcentral.